RNAcentral lists this ribosomal RNA (491 nucleotides) under uncultured bacterium. RNAcentral describes it as "partial 16S ribosomal RNA". It matches the Rfam family "Bacterial small subunit ribosomal RNA", at positions 29 to 507 of the family's 1533-position model. The record is from RNAcentral.
GUGAACGCUGGCGGUAGGCCUAACCCAUGCAAGCCGCACGGCAGCACAGUAAGAGCUUGCUCUUACGGGUGGCGAGUGGCGGACGGGUGAGGAAUACAUCGGAAUCUACUUUUUCGUGGGGGAUAACGUAGGGAAACUUACGCUAAUACCGCAUACGACCUACGGGUGAAAGCAGGGGAUCUUCGGACCUUGCGCGAUUGAAUGAGCCGAUGUCGGAUUAGCUAGUUGGCGGGGUAAAGGCCCACCAAGGCGACGAUCCGUAGCUGGUCUGAGAGGAUGAUCAGCCACACUGGAACUGAGACACGGUCCAGACUCCUACGGGAGGCAGCAGUGGGGAAUAUUGGACAAUGGGCGCAAGCCUGAUCCAGCCAUACCGCGUGGGUGAAGAAGGCCUUCGGGUUGUAAAGCCCUUUUGUUGGGAAAGAAAAGCAGCAGGUUAAUACCCCGCUGUUCUGACGGUACCCAAAGAAUAAGCACCGGCUAACUUCGUG